Molecule: ribosomal RNA, 267 nt
Filed under: uncultured bacterium
Lineage: Bacteria
Description: partial 16S ribosomal RNA
Rfam family: Bacterial small subunit ribosomal RNA
Source: RNAcentral
GUCCACGCCCUAAACGAUGAACACUAGUCGUUACGGAGCUAGUCUCUGUAGUGACGCAGCUAACGCAUUAAGUGUUCCGCCUGGGGAGUACGGUCGCAAGAUUAAAACUCAAAGGAAUAGACGGGGACCCGCACAAGCGGUGGAGCAUGUGGUUUAAUUCGAAGAUACGCGAAGAACCUUACCAAGGCUUGACAUGUUAGGAAUCUUGUAGAAAUAUGAGAGUGCUAGCUUGCUAGAACCUAAACACAGGUGCUGCAUGGCUGUCGU